CGCAGCCGCGGUAAUUCCAGCUCCAAUAGCGUAUAUUAAGGUUGUUGCAGUUAAAAAGCUCGUAGUUGAAUUUCGGGGUUCUACCGUUGGUCGGGCAAUAGUCUGUACUGGCGUGUGGGAUUUCUACCUUCUGGGGAACCAUCAUGUUAUUUAUUUAGCGUGGUGGGAAACCAGGACCUUUACCUUGAAAAAAUUAGAGUGUUCAAAGCAGGCUUACGUCUGAAUACAUUAGCAUGGAAUAAUAAAAUAGGACGGUGGUCCUGUUUUGUUGGUUUCUGAAUCACCGUAAUGAUUAAUAGGGAUAGUUGGGGGCAUUAGUAUUCAAUUGUCAGAGGUGAGAUUCUUGGAUUUAU
RNAcentral lists this ribosomal RNA (353 nucleotides) under uncultured Gigaspora. RNAcentral's name for it is "SSU rRNA". It matches the Rfam family "Eukaryotic small subunit ribosomal RNA", at positions 569 to 929 of the family's 1831-position model. The record is from RNAcentral. Lineage: Eukaryota; Fungi; Glomeromycota; Glomeromycetes; Diversisporales; Gigasporaceae.